Molecule: long non-coding RNA, 1070 nt
Organism: Musca vetustissima
Lineage: Eukaryota; Metazoa; Arthropoda; Insecta; Diptera; Muscidae
Exons: 3
Source: RefSeq, a predicted model, not a curated record
UUGACGACAUUGACUAGGUUGGCAAUACGUGGAACAAAAAAAAUUAUCAUGCCAGACUGAUCAAAAUUUAAAAAAAAGGUAUUCCGAGCCCGAGAGAAAUAGUAAACUAUUAAUGACUUUUACCACAGCAUAAAUAAGAAAAAGCAACCAGUUAUAUGGAAAAAAAAUCAUGAAAGUACUCGGCAGGUGUUAAACCGAGCUCUUCCCUCCCACUGGAACACUUGUUCCACCUUGGCAAUCAAAACAUGUUCAUAUUGUCCCCAUACCUACCUCUUCUUUGGCACGUCACCCUCCUAACCUUCAAUUAAAUUUCCUUAUGGAGAAGACAUUUUAAUUCAUAUCCAUCGUUAUAAUUUUAUUUUUAAUUCAAGUUUCUUAAUUUUAAAUACCAUAAAUCGUGGAUCAUUUUAACUUUGAGAUUCACAUGGUUAAAAAGGUUUUUACUAGUGCAAAGAGUUUUUACUAGUGUAAAAUAUUCGAAAAUCGUAAGUAUUAUAAUUUUGAGCGUUGUACAUAAUAACGAAACUUAGGUAAGUACCACUUUUGGGGAUUUAUUUAAUAAAUUUAAUGUAAGAUGGCUGCUCUUCUUUUUUUUCCCAGGGAUGCUGAACAGAGGUCCUAUGAUAGCGGUGUUUGCUGGCAAUUGAGCUUAUUAUCGUCAGUUAAUCUCUGGAGUAAAAACAAAGGGACAACAUUAAGCUUUUGUGAAUGGGAGCAACUAACUCCUGGUGAUAAAUUACCUGUCCUACCUGCCUAGAGAGAGCUCUAUCUAUUCGGAGAGGAUAUGAGAAUAAAAAAAUUCGAAUAAUAAUGAAAACAAAAGGAAAUGUCUACCCUUAAGGCCACGUGUUUUCUAUACCCUUUUAUUCCAGGUUUAUGGGCUGUCCGUCCGUCGAAAGUAAUUAUCAAUAAGUUUGGAGGUACCUCAGCACCGCGGAAUGCCUGGUGCUCAACAGCGGAUCCAACGAUGAGCAGAGGAGUCGGGAUCGGUGGUCCAAAUAUCGUUAGCGAUGCUGGCAAAAGUGUUUGGUGCUGUAUUACUUCCUUUUGUUCAACAGUUAUUGAGGUUU